AGAACGAACGCUGGCGGCAGGCUUAACACAUGCAAGUCGAACGCUCCGCAAGGGGAGUGGCAGACGGGUGAGUAACGCGUGGGAACAUACCCCUCGGUUCGGAAUAACUCAGGGAAACUUGAGCUAAUACCGGAUACGGUCGAGAGGCGAAAGAUUUAUCGCCGAGGGAUUGGCCCGCGUCCGAUUAGCUAGUUGGUGAGGUAAUGGCUCACCAAGGCGACGAUCGGUAGCUGGUCUGAGAGGAUGAUCAGCCACAUUGGGACUGAGACACGGCCCAAACUCCUACGGGAGGCAGCAGUGGGGAAUAUUGGACAAUGGGCGAAAGCCUGAUCCAGCCAUGCCGCGUGAGUGAUGACGGCCUUAGGGUUGUAAAGCUCUUUCGUCAGGGACGAUAAUGACGGUACUGAAGAAGAAGCCCCGGCUAACUUCGCGCCAGCAGCCGC
Molecule: ribosomal RNA, 443 nt
Filed under: uncultured bacterium
Lineage: Bacteria
Description: SSU rRNA
Rfam family: Bacterial small subunit ribosomal RNA
Source: RNAcentral